Molecule: ribosomal RNA, 253 nt
Filed under: uncultured bacterium
Lineage: Bacteria
Description: partial 16S ribosomal RNA
Rfam family: Bacterial small subunit ribosomal RNA
Source: RNAcentral
UACGGGGGGGGCAAGCGUUGUUCGGAAUUACUGGGCGUAAAGGGUUUGUAGGUGGCUUGCUAAGUCAGACGUGAAAUCCCUCAGCUUAACUGGGGAACUGCGUCUGAGACUGGCGAGCUUGAGUGCAGGAGAGGAACGCGGAAUUCCAGGUGUAGCGGUGAAAUGCGUAGAUAUCUGGAGGAACACCGGUGGCGAAGGCGGCAUCCUGGACCAAUAUUGACGCUGAGGAGCGAAAGCUAGGGGAGCAAACGGG